AGCCACAGAGCCACAGACAUUGGACCUGGAGGAUGCAUCAUUUGUUGCCUUUUCCAAUGUAGCAAGAGGAUUUCUCUCAUGGCAGAGAACUUAAACUUCUUUCUCUGAGAAUUACGUAUGUUUUGGACGUAUGUUUUCAAGGGCCCGACAUAGCAAUAGUGAUCCAAGUAUGUUAAAUUGGUCACUUGGAUUAAUCUGUGAUUAAAGGCCCUGCAGGAUGAAGGUCCAGAGGAGGAUGGGGAGAGCUGGUCUACGAAUACAGCAACACGGGAAAGCUGGCCAGCAAAUCGAGAGAGAGUCCAAAACAAAUCAUUUGAACAUCUGCUCUAAGUGUUCCUGAUUUUGACUUUUGGGUUAUAUUAGGAAACUGAGGCUGGAACUAACAGCUCCAUGGAUGGAUGGAUGAAGACCUUGAGAAUGGAACCUGGUUUGUUUGGCUUCAAGACUGCUCCUCCCAUUGUGCCAUAUGCCCUCAAAACUGGAAAUGUGUGUCUUGCACUGAAGGGAAGGCAAGAGCCUAAGAAUGAGGCUGCAACAGAAUAAAAUCCCCUACACAAAUAUUUAAUAAAAAUCUGUAAUUUCACAAAAGCACCAAAAGCCCAAGUUAUUUUGCAAAACAACUUAUGGAUCCCUAGCAAGCAUCCAAAAAGGCCCCAAACAUCACAAAAUGGCUUUGAAAAUCCCUAUCUAGACGAUCUUUAAUUAAGAACCUUUCAAGUGUUAAACCUGCAUUUGUCCUUGGCUGAUCUUUAAUUAACAUAGGAUAGUCCCUGUCUUUACAAGAGCAGAUAUGUUACCCUUCCUAGUUUUUCAUCUAGGGUUCUACCCUUCUCUCAGAGAUUUGUCCAGUAACCAUGAUCACAAAUAUAAAGCCAGCUGAAAUUUGGAGUGGGUGAAACAAGACAAGGAAAAAUGAGCACUGCAUUUAGCUAUUGGCCCAAGAGUGAAAGAGGGAUGGAGUAAGUAACUGAUCCUCUGCAACCCAAUCAGUCUCCCUUUGGACAGGGAAAUUCUUGUGUGAGGGCCUGGUUGGGCUUACCCGCAGAAUGGGUCUGGACCCAUGGCUGCAAAUGAGACUGAAUAUCUGCUUGAGACUCUAUUAGAGGAUAGAGUUAGCCUGAUAGAGUCACUGAAGCAAGCGGAGACUAAAUGCUGGCUGAUCCCUGAAGAGGAAAGCCACUUUUUCUGGGCCCUGGGCCCUGAAGAUUUUGCAUGACGCCUGAGGCCUUUAUUUGAAGAUUAGGUGCUAAGAAUUGCUUCCUGAUCAUAUCUUGCCAACUGGCUUCCUAAAUCCCAGUUCCAUCAUGGGGUAACCCUGACAGAAUUUCAGAUGAUUUGAAAUACUCUGGCACAUGGAAGAGCAGACUGUUAUAUCCUCAAGAAAAAAAAGUAUAUAUGUACACAUACAUAUAUGCAUGCAUGUGUGUAUUAAUGUGUAACUCUCUUUACACACAUGCAC
Molecule: long non-coding RNA, 1459 nt
Organism: Zalophus californianus (California sea lion)
Lineage: Eukaryota; Metazoa; Chordata; Mammalia; Carnivora; Otariidae
Exons: 3
Source: RefSeq, a predicted model, not a curated record